GCUGGGCAUGGUGGCUCAUGCCUGUAAUCCCAGCACUUUGGGAGGCUGAGGUGGGUGGAUCACCUGAGGUCAGGAGUUCAAGACCAGCCUGGCCAACAUGAUGAAAACCCGUCUCUA
RNAcentral lists this non-coding RNA (117 nucleotides) under Homo sapiens (human). The record is from Rfam by way of RNAcentral. Lineage: Eukaryota; Metazoa; Chordata; Mammalia; Primates; Hominidae.